CAGGCCUAACACAUGCAAGUCGAACGGGCACCUUCGGGUGUCAGUGGCAGACGGGUGAGUAACACGUGGGAACGUGCCCUUCGGUUCGGAAUAACUCAGGGAAACUUGAGCUAAUACCGGAUACGCCCUUACGGGGAAAGGUUUACUGCCGAAGGAUCGGCCCGCGUCUGAUUAGCUAGUUGGCGAGGUAAUGGCUCACCAAGGCGACGAUCAGUAGCUGGUCUGAGAGGAUGAUCAGCCACACUGGGACUGAGACACGGCCCAGACUCCUACGGGAGGCAGCAGUGGGGAAUAUUGGACAAUGGGCGAAAGCCUGAUCCAGCCAUGCCGCGUGAGUGAUGAAGGCCUUAGGGUUGUAAAGCUCUUUUGUCCGGGAAGAUAAUGACUGUACCGGAAGAAUAAGCCCCGGCUAACUUCGUGCCAGCAGCCGCGGUAAU
RNAcentral lists this ribosomal RNA (437 nucleotides) under uncultured bacterium. RNAcentral describes it as "bacterial SSU rRNA". It matches the Rfam family "Bacterial small subunit ribosomal RNA", at positions 43 to 524 of the family's 1533-position model. The record is from RNAcentral.